AGCGAACGCUGGCGGCAGGCCUAACACAUGCCAGUCGAACGAACUCUUCGGAGUUAGUGGCGGACGGGUGAGUAACACGUGGGAACAUGCCUUUAGGUUCGGAAUAACUCAGGGAAACUUGUGCUAAUACCGAAUGUGCCCUUCGGGGGAAAGAUUUAUCGCCUUUAGAGCGGCCCGCGUCUGAUUAGCUAGUUGGUGAGGUAAAGGCUCACCAAGGCGACGAUCAGUAGCUGGUCUGAGAGGAUGAUCAGCCACAUUGGGACUGAGACACGGCCCAAACUCCUACGGGAGGCAGCAGUGGGGAAUCUUGCGCAAUGGGCGAAAGCCUGACGCAGCCAUGCCGCGUGAAUGAUGAAGGUCUUAGGAUUGUAAAAUUCUUUCACCGGGGACGAUAAUGACGGUACCCGGAGAAGAAGCCCCGGCUAACUUCGUG
RNAcentral lists this ribosomal RNA (433 nucleotides) under uncultured bacterium. RNAcentral describes it as "partial 16S ribosomal RNA". It matches the Rfam family "Bacterial small subunit ribosomal RNA", at positions 29 to 507 of the family's 1533-position model. The record is from RNAcentral.